This 253-nucleotide ribosomal RNA is filed under the name uncultured bacterium. Its description in RNAcentral is "partial 16S ribosomal RNA". It matches the Rfam family "Bacterial small subunit ribosomal RNA", at positions 524 to 776 of the family's 1533-position model. The record is from RNAcentral.
UACGAAGGGGGCUAGCGUUGCUCGGAAUCACUGGGCGUAAAGCGCACGUAGGCGGAUUCCUAAGUCGGGGGUGAAAUCCUGGAGCUCAACUCCAGAACUGCCUUCGAUACUGGGAAUCUUGAGUCCGGAAGAGGUGAGUGGAACUGCGAGUGUAGAGGUGAAAUUCGUAGAUAUUCGCAAGAACACCAGUGGCGAAGGCGGCUCACUGGUCCGGUACUGACGCUGAGACGCGAAAGCGUGGGGAGCGAACAGG